CUUUGAGGUCUCGCUUUUGCAUUCACAUCCUUUGCCGUCAUGUUGCUUUGUUCAAUCCGCUCAGAUGUUUUAUUUUGUUUUUUAUGAGUUGACAUUAAUUUCUGAUCAAGGGACAUAAUUUUUAAAGAUGGCAGAUGGCGGCGUUAACCCUUUCAAAGCUGGUAAGAAGAUCUACAAAACCAGGAUGACGCCACAUUUUGAUAGACUUUUUUAAUGUAGAGAAUAUUUAUUGUAUUAUUGGCUUCACCAAACACAGCCCUCUGCUUGUUCAUGUAUGCCACCAUCAUUUUAAAGGGACACUAUAGUCACCAGAACCACUACAGUUUAAUGUAGUGGUUCUGGUGUCUAUAGCCUGUGCCUGCACGCUUUUCAAUGUAAACGCUGCCUUUUCAGAGAUAAGGCAGUGUUUACAUUGCUGGGUAGUUACACCUCUAGUGGCAGUCACCAAGAAGGCCACUAGAGGUGCUUUCUGGGUCAAUGCUGCACAGACAGUAUACAGCACUGGCGUUCAGAGUCUACACACUCAGGGCAUGGAGGUGCUGAACUCUCCCCAUAGAGAUGCACUGAUUCAAUGUAUUUCUAUGAGUAGACACUGAUUGGCGCAGCCCUGCAUAUUGCUGCACAUGCACAAUAUCCUUCUAAUGUUUUCAUAUGGGAAAGCACUGGAUUGGCGGAGAUCGUCAUGUUUGAUGAUCUCAGCCAUAGAGGCAUGACCAGCAGUGGUGAGACAAGCAUGGCGUGGGAGAAAAGGUAAGUGUAAACACCUUUUCAGGGCAAUCGGAGCAAGUCUGGGACCUAAACAGCCAUACCAGGACUAUAGUAUCAGGAAUACAUGUUUGUGUAGUGUUCCUUUAAAGUUCUACCCCCCACAGACUGGCAGUAGAGAGCCCAGGCAUUCAUGAUUGAGAGGGGAAGGUGCCUAUCAAGUUGGUAAGUAUGUGAACAUAUGUCUAUGUAUAUAUUUAUUUAGGUAUAAGAGCAUCUAUGUAUGUUUGUGUUUGUUUAUGUCUGUGCAUGUGAGUGUAUGCAUUAGUGUGUAUCUAUAUAAGUGUGAGUUUGUCUUUGUGUGCAUGUCUACGUGUGAAUUCAUAGGUAUGUAUGGCUAGCUAUGUCUAUGUGAGAAUUCAUAGAUGUCUAUAGCUUUGGCUAGUUAUAUAUACGUAUGACCAGAGUCAGAUUGUCCAUUAGGGGAUUGUCCACAAGGGGCCUGUUUAAGGAAAUCCCCCUUUACUGCUAUUCUCCCAGAUUCCUGUGUGCUCCUCUGAUCUCUCUGAUGCUGGACACCAUGCCCAUGGGCCUUGUCUAAUUGUCUAUUUUUAUUUCUGGUGUCCCUUGAUUCUGAUGGUUUGUUUUGACUAUUCUGUGUAUGUGUAUCUGUGUGUGGGUGUGUGUUUGUCAGAAAAUGUGAGUGUGUCAAAAGGCGUGAUAAGUGGUAGAAUUGGGGAGGAGCCAGGGAUGUGGUUUUGGGUAGAGGCAAAAAGUUGGGUUUUGAAAAGGGGUCACCAAAUUAUACAUUAGUUUGGCAUCAGCCCUGGGUAUUUUUUGAUUCUAGCAGCUCCCCUAUCUGACUGUGAUUUGUAUCUGGCACAGUCUCCACCAGCAGGUUUUACUCAGAGUGUGACUUUACUGAAAUACCAGUUAUUAUAACCCUUGUAACAAAAAAAUAUAUGUGCUUGCGUCUAUAUGUAAAUUGCUAAAUAUGCAUGUAUGUAUGCGCAUUUGUGUGUGUGUGUGGUGGGUCCCCAGUUUCCUUUGGUCUUAGGCAGAAAAAUGUCUUGAGCCAGGUGCUGACUGUAAGUGGGUCAAAGCAGCCAAAAGGAAGGAUAGUCCCAACAUGGGCAGAUAUUUGCAAAUUUUCCCCAGUAAUGCAACUGAGGCAGAUCUAAAAGACAAUCCCACUGCCGCGACAGGUAUUGUACUAGAGGAAUAACAAGUUCUCAAAACUGGAGUGUCCCAAGUCACCAAGCACCCUUAUGUGAAGCAGAGAAGAGAGGGUGCUGUGAAAUGACAGAGUUCAUAACAGACUUACAGCAAAUAUCAUCAGUAAGAGCUGUAUGUAUGUACUAUCAGCCAGCAAUUUAACAAGCGGUGGUACAGGAAGUGCUGCAUCGUGGGAAAUUUAGGUCCAAAAAUAAAUGUUAUGCUAUGUCUUCUCCAUGGUACUGAAAUCAUAAUGCAAAUUUAAAGGAUCACUGUAGGGUCAGCCAGGAACACAAACUGUAUUCCUGACCCUAUAGUGUUUAACCCACCAUUUAGGUGGCUUUCUGCCCUCCCUUUGCCCUCCUAUAAAAGUUUAAAACUCACCUUAUUUCCAGUGCCGCGUGGGUCUGCCGGCACAGGCUCCGCCCCCUUUGUGACAUCAUCAAAAUUGCCAAUUUUUUGCCAAUCCUCGGCACGGGGGCGGGGCCAAAUGCAGUUUUAGCCAAUCAGGACCUCCUCAUAGAGAUGCAUUGAAUCAAUGCAUCUCUAUGAGGAAAAUUCAGUGUCUGCAUGCAGAGCGUGGGGGACGCUGAAUGGCAGGGCUGCUUACUGUGCAGCACUGAGCCAGGAAGCACCUCCAGUGGCCAUCUAAGGAGUGGCCACUUGGAGGUGUCCCUAGGGGCAAUGUAAACACUACAUUUACAUGAAAAUGCCUGAAAGGAGCUAUUAUACUCACCAGAACAACUACAUUAAGCUGUAGUCGUUCGGGUGAGUAUAGUGUCUAUUUUAUAACAAAAAAAAAGCAAAACAAAUAAAAGGAGGAAAUAAUGUCUGGCAAAUCAAAUGUAUGAAUCAGAAAACUAACAUAUAAAAUCCAGAAAACACCAAUAACAAUGAUAUAUAAUAAAAAAAUCUGCCAUAAUAUAUAUUUAUGAUAUCUCCCCUUUAAGAAAGUUUAGCUACCAGUCUUCCUCAUCUUUUCCUUCCCUCCCUAUGCGUUUCUCAUUUUCAUUCCGCAACUAACUCACAGCUUCUUCAAAGUGAGAUUCCGAAGAAAAAAAAGUUUAAUUAUUGGGUCCUUUACGCAAAGCAAACUGUUUCUGUUUAUCUGCUAAAAAAUGCUGUUUGGGCAUUUUUAUGCUGAUUUAUUCAUAUUUCCAAGGUCUUCUAUGUCAACAACUGCAGGCACGGGAUAAAGGAUUUUUUUUUAUCUCCUAUAAUUUUAUAGAGUCUUUCAUUUGUCCCAUGAAAGAGGCGUUCUAUAUUAUAUAUUAAUGCAAGAGGUUUAAAAAAAAAAAAAAAGAAAUCAAAUAUAGGAUUUCAGAAACCGUGGAAACAAACUUUAAAAACUAAAACGUGUGGGGACUUAAUAAGCUUCAUUUUCCCAAGUGGAAGGUUUCUAUAGGACGCUUUAUAUUAGUAUAAUCCUGCUGUCAUUUAUUUCAGAUACAAUGAUUUAUUUUUCAUUUCUUUAAGCAAAUAAAAAUAGCAGGCACUUAAUACACACAGAGGCUACUUCUAAAGUGCUAAAAAUGGAGCAUUGAGGAAUAACAUUCCAUAGGUCUCCAUGGCGACUGCUCCAUCUUUAUUAUUUCAUCUUAGAUUUGCUUUUAAAGGGACACUGUGUAUUUCAAGUUUAUCAUAGAGAUGGAUGAAUCUUUAUUAACUCACAUUUCUUUUAUGUGGGAAUUUCACUGAAAUUAUAAAGUAAUCUGAAAAUCUGGAGAUAUAAAUUAGCUAAAUUAAGGAUUGAAAAAAAAAAUCUUCUUCUCUUGUCUUGCCAUUUCCUGUGAUUAGUUGGACACAAGAACAACAGUUUAUCAACUUUUCAAGGCACAUCAUAAAAGUGUAGUUAUUGCCACACAUAAUGUCACAUCUGAAAGCUUAAAGGGACACUAUAGUCACCAGAACAACUACGGCUAAAUAUAGUUGUUCUGGUGUUUUUAGUCUCAGUCAGAGAAAAGGUAGUGUUUACAUUGCUCCCUAGGAACACUUCCAGUGGCCACUCCUCAGACGGCCACUGGAGGUGCUUUAUGGGUCAUUGCUGCACAGUGUGUCUCCAUACUCUGCAUGGUGUCACUGAACUAUCCCCAUAGGGAUGCAUUGAGUCAAUGCAUCUCUAUAAUGAGUAAUGAGAUGCUGAUUAGCCAAGCUGGUGUUUAACCCUGCUUCCACCCCGCCUCCUUGACAAUCUCAGCCAAUCCAAUGACUUUCCUAUGGGAAAAAAAUCAGGAGAUUUAAGAAUGUACAAACCUAUCUCUUAACUACAGUGUGGUAAAAUCCAGUAUUUUUACUCAGCCGGAUGAGAUAUUUAUCCUGUCUCUAAAAUCCAGGCUAUUUCCAGUUUUCCCCCUAAAUUGCACUGCUUACUUAAUUUCUGGGCCCCUGUCUAACUCCAAGAUCCCUAGGCAACUGCUUAAGGCGUCCUUAUGGUUAAUCCCACUCUGGUCUGCAUACUGUCCUGUCUUUUUGGGUGUCAUUAAAUAACAUCAGAGGGUGUUGUUGAGCAGAACAUGACGUUAUCACGGUCGUGUGAUAACCCAACACGCUGUAUGUAAACCCACAGAAAACCCAAAUACGUAUUACCGAACCUUAGAAUGGUCGGGUUUAACGUAAGAGAAAAGAGUAGUGAAAGAAUAGCCAAAAGUCAGGAUACCAGAAAUCAGGAGAGCGUAUAAGAGUUGCCGGUCAGGAUACCAGAAAUCAGGAGGUCAAAAGUCAAGCCGAGUCGGGAAACCAAAUAACAGGAAUGUCAGAAGUCAAGCCGGAUCAACACACAGGAAUAAAAAUAAUAAUGCAAGGAGAACUAAAUAGCACUAAGGGGACCACAAGGAACCACAAUAGGGCAAGAAACAAGACAAAAGGCGCCACUUUUAUAAGGGAGCAUCUUUUGCUUUAAGACCACGCCCCUAAAAAGUUCUGGUCUGGUAUUGAUGACGCGGGGUUGCGUCAUUGACGUCGGCACGUAUGCACCGCGUCAUGAAAAGGGACGUGUUUCCUGCGUCCGGCGUGGGACAUCACCGAACACAGCCAGAGUGGAGCCGGCGUUGGAUCCCACACCACGCAGGCGCGACGGAUCAAGGUAAAAGAUCGUGACAGACAUCUAAUUGGAACAUUUGUUGAUACAUCGGCUAAAGUAGGCGGAAUCAGUCAAAUUCUGGGGAUAAAAUUUUGCUUCCCAACAUCACAAACCACCAGUGGGCACUGACGUGCUUUCAGUGACUACUGUAAUCUGCUUCUCAGUGGUCUUCCGUUUUCCCAACUUUCCCCGUUACAUUCUAUAAUGAAUGCGGCUGCAAGGCUUAUCUUUCUCUCCGCCCACACUUUCCACACCUCCCCCGUCUGUCAGUCCCUACAUUGGCUUCCAGUUAGAUAUAGAACUAAAUUUAAGAUAUUGAUACUUGCUUACAAAUCUCUAUACUGUGCUUCUACCUCCUACCUAUCCUCAUUAAUACACAAAUAUGUUCCGUCUAGGCCCCUACGCUCUGCCGGAGACUUACGUCUAAUCUCUGUUCAUACUACUACCUCUGAUGCUCUCAUUAAAGACUUCUCCAGGCUGCACCAUUCUUAUGGAACAGCCUUCCCCUCUCUGUCAGACUUUAACCCACUCUCCACUCCUUCAAAAAAUCUUCGAAAACUCACUUCUUUAGGAAAGCAUAUCAAUUAAACUGUGAACAGCUUUCCCUCCCAACUCCUUGAUUCCUCCCCUGCAACUGCCAUCAAAACAAAACACUAAGCCCUCAGUGAAUACUAUCCUAACAACCUACUUUUCUACCCUACCCGUACCUUUUGUGUCACUAUUCCCCACUCCCUCUAGCGUGUAAGCUCAUUGAGCAGGGCCCUCAAUCCUUCUGUUCCUGUGUGCCCAACUCGUCUGGUUACAAAUACGUGUUUGUUAGUCCACCCAUUGUACAGCGCUACAGAAUUUAUAAAUAAUAAUAAUAAUAAUGAUGACAAUAUGGAGAGGCUAGAACCCCAGAUCUCUUAAAAAAUGGUUAUGACUGCAACUCUGCAAAAUUAGAUACAUUUAUAUCUCCCUUUUAAUAGUGAUCUGCUUGCAAAUUGCCAUAAUUUAGCAUUCUUACUAUUCUUAUCACAUCCCUAAGAAACAUAAAAAAUAUACAAUGUUUCAAUAACCUGUAUAUUUUAAUUGAAAAUCCCUAUUGUUUGUUAACUUGUUAGCACGUCCUUGAGUUGUGAAAUUUGUAAAGGUGCGAAAGAUGCUACCUCCUCCCGUGCAGGAAGUCUCCGAGGCAUAUUACAUCAUUUAAAGAGAUGUGUGCAGCUCCAAGCGUCUUCACAGUUAAGUUUUCCAUGUCUGAAACUUUUCAUGUCCACGCACUGCUCUAUAAAUAAAACAAAUUCUAGGUACAACACCGAGGAUGGCUAAGCAGACUCGGAAACUCAUAUACCUUUUAUUGUCCUGAUGUCUGCGGGUAAUAUUUUUUGCAUAAAAAAACAGGAUUGGUGCCAGAAGAAAUUUAAAGCUCCCCAAAUACACGAACAGAUGUUUGCUAUAAAAAAAACACACAAAAAAAAACAGUUUAGGAAAUGUUCAAAGACUAUCUCUGCAUUUAAGAAGUCUAUCAAGCAUGCUGACUGUAAAUGAGAAUGCUUGUUCAGGCAGUUACCUGGCUGAGCCCUGGGCAUGACAAUAACAAUCCCCUUGUUAACUUCCCGCAAUCGCUGGUUUAGUGAAUAAACACCAACCGUUUUAUUAUUAAUUAUCUUAUUUAACGUGAUAGUAUAUAUUUCAGUUUAUGCGCCUACAAAAAUAUAUUUAAAUACAUAUGAAUGCAUUCUUACAAAAUAUUCUCAAGUAUCUGUUGUUAUGUCUCCAUACCCAAAGCUUAAUGAUAUUAAUAAUAAUAGUAAUUGAUUUUGUCUUAUAGCGUUUAUUAAAGGGUUGCAAAAAUCUGUAUUUCUAGCAUUUGUUAAAGGAACACCCCAGAUACCAUAAUCACUACAGUCCACUGUAGUAGUUAUAGUGCCAGAAGCGCCCUAGAACUUUUCCCAUGUAGGUAGUCAUAGAAUGGUUUGACAGCUUACCUGGGAUUCACAGGUGCAGUUAACUGCCUCCUCCUCUGCAUUCCAAGAAGUUGCCUACUCUGACACAGCCGGGCAAAGCAGGGCGUAGCUUACUGGCUCAUUGGCCGACACUCUCAGGCAAUAAGCCUGCACCACACAACAAGUGCUAAUGGAAACGCCAUGAUCGCUGAAAUUACGGGCUUUAGAUGAGGAUGUGAUUGAUGGUGAAAGUAACACAUCCAAUUAGUUGUGACAGUGUCACCUUAAAGCAUCAUAUAUGGCGUUAACACAGCACAGUUUGGAGGUAGUGCUGUUGGUAAAGGGUUUCUAAUGCAGUGGGUGCAGAUUCAGUGCUACAAGUUUGGGGCUAAUUAUGCACCUGCUUAGAAAUAUGAUAUAAGGUAGGGUUAAUACAACAGAUGGACAUAGGGGAUGGUAUAGAGCCGGGUUAAGCAACCUUCGACACUCCAGAUGUUGUGGACUACAUUUCCCAUAAUACUCUAACAGCCAUAAUGCUGGCAAAGCAUCAGGUGAGAUGUAGUUCACAACAUCUGGAAUGCCGAAGGUUGCCUACCCCUGGUAGAGGGCAUGGUUGCGGGAGGAGGACAUAAAAUUUACUCUUGGGAUAAAGCAGUGCCCAUGGCACUAGGACAGUCUGUUCAGGACAUUUAUCAAAGUGUUUGGUUCUAAAAAGUGGCCUAAAGCACUAAAAGUGGGACAGUUAUCAUGGAAACCAGUGGAACCAACAGUUACAUUUCAUUUUUACAUUUUAGAACCACUUUUCGAAAUAGAAUACUUACUUGAUAAAUCUCCCCCUAUGAGUCUCCAAAGUACUUUUAGAACUUCAGGUUUCCAGAAUAACUUGAUGAUUUCUUCUCCCGCUCUCCCGAAUCCUAUUCUAAAACUUUCCCAGACCCAAAACGACCCCUUUGCCUUUAAAUGUGUUAGCAUUUGAAGGACUGAAAUGUAACAGUGUCUUGAGAUAUCUUUGUGCAAAUUCAUGUUCCUCCCACAGAACACCAAUAGCAAAUAGUAGGCCGGUAAGGUUACAGAGUGCCAAACAUGCUGUGAGUUUGUCAUUGAUAUACAAAGAUUGGUUGUCUUUAAUUAAAUGGGGGAAAUUACGCUUAGAAUCAUAAGGAAUAACAGGCCGACUUAGAACCAAAGUUAUAAAAGUGGAGCAAUCAACGGAAACAUUCCAUUGAAUUAACCAGCACCUGUUUAUUAAAAUGUACUUUGCUUCGAACAUAAGCUGCAACAUUCUAAAAAUGACUUCACAUCUGCUGAACUAUCUCUAUCUCUAUUAUAGACAAAGAAUCACAGUCUCUUCCUAAAUACAAUUUUCUUUUCAGUAGGGUAUGAUUAUGUUAAGUGAAGGUGUCGCGGGUGCUGACCUACAAAUUAGGCAUUUAUCGAAUGGCAACAGGAGAUCACUGGUUCUUUUUCAGCAGCGGAGGACGAUGUGGUGUCAUAUGACAUUUGGCUUGUCACUGUAGCUAAAGCUCACUUACUCGACAUUUAGCAUAGUAGAUUGGCAAUAUGCAGAGGUCUUGGCACAGCAGGGCAUCUUCCUUUUCCUACAAGGCUGAGUGAAAUUAGAGAUUGGUACGGAGCACAAAAACUAUAAAAGGCCAGAUGGAAAAGGCCAGUAAGGUCAAAUAGCUCUUUUGAAACAUGUAAGAAAACUGCGUAGUUGAAUGGCAGCCAAGUUAAUGUUUGACAGAAGUGCUCAGUCAGGUGUGGGUAAUAAUUAUAUUGAAUUAAAGGCUUUUUUUUCUUCCUGAUCUGUCAAAAUAUAUUGGAGCCUAAAAUGAGUCUGUUACCAGUUCAUUCAGUAUUCCUCUGAGUUUAUAAAGCCGUGACUGCUAACCCUGGCACUUCAGAUGUUGCGAAAUACAUUUCCCAUGAUACCACUCUCAUGAAUAAUUCAUUGAAAGUUGCAGUGCAACAGUGUUUCGGGGAUCUUGUUACAAUUUAUGGAAAACAAUUGCUUAUCUUCAUUCUUGUUAACGGAAUAAUUAAAAAAAAACGUUGAUCUUUCAGACAUAUAACUUUGCCUACUUAUUUACUACGUCCGUAUAGAUUGCUCUUUUUCCUUAAAAAAAUAAAAAGCAAAAUAAAAAUGGUAAUAUUGUUCUUUCAGUUACAUGCAGACCCAUUGUCUAUGAUCCUCAACCAUGAUAACCAACCCUUGUCUUGUGCCAGACAUACCAACAAGUUGGCGGAGGGGUGUGGGGGGAUUAUCUGAGCGACAAGGUGGGUGCUUUACCUAGAAGAUUAAGGGCCCCCAACCAAGAUUGACAUUGAAGAUAAAAUAUGGUGUAUAUUCAAUAUAAAAAAACUACUAUUUCAGAAAGGUUUGAACACUUUGGCUCGAAACAUUUGUCCAUUUGUCCAUCCAGAUUCUUGUAGCAUUUUGAGCGUGCAUCACGAGUGGAGAACACAGACUAACUUUGCUUCAAAUGUUGAAUACUAUUUCAAACACUUGUCCACACCCCAAAAAAUGUUCUUCCUUCCCUCCUUUAAUUUACUUUCCCUUUGUAGUUCACGUCCAUCCGUUCUACUUCAACUGUUAUAUUGUUAAACUGAUUGUUCUGAUUCUUAGUCCUAUCUGGGAUUUACCUUGACCGUUUGAAAAUUAUAUUAUUGUUUGCCUAUUUCUAUUUGUUCCUGUAUUUUAAUAUUAAAAAUAUAUAUUUUUUAAAAUACAUAAGUUUAAAAAAAAAAGCAUUUUACAGGAUGUCAAAUAUUAAAAAAAUAAAAAGGGACAUAUAAUGUGUGUUAGGGUAUUUGUAAGGAACCUGAUGGCGUUUUGGAAAUGUAUAUUCCUACAAAUACCACCAAAAAGUUGUCUGGCAUAGAAUCUGUUCAACCUUUGGCUGUCGCAGGUUCAAAUCCUGGAAGGAUUAACUCAGCCCUUCAUCCUUCCAAGUUAGAUAAUAUGAGUAGCAUUAAAUUGGGUACCAGUACAUCCACUGGAUGUUGGGCAAAAGUAACGUCCUCAGCACAUACUUGGAAACCAGAGUAAUCUGAAUGUCCUGGUUAAAUACUUUUGUUUUUAUUAUUAUUAACCUGAUACACAGGGACGAUAUGAAGCCAGAUGGAGAUCUGGCUAGAAUUUUUUAUUUGCACUGCGGUAGGUUGAGAGGGAGAUUGCGAAGGUCUAAUCUAAAACCCAUAAAUAUUAUUUUUUUAUCCCAACAUGUUUAAUGAGUUUCUUCGGGUUACAUAAUUUGAUAUCUUUAUAGAGUUGAAUUUUAUAAUUUUUUUUCAUAACCUUAACCAAGAUUUUCACAAUCGCUGUAUUAACAUGAUUUCGCUUUACAAUGGUUAAACAUUUCAAUUAUAUAUAAUGUCAAUAUUGUAUGUUUUUCUCUUUACUAAUAUUCAGGUUAAGAAUUUAGCUUGUGAGAUGAGACGGACUUUGUACAGUACGGUCUGCACCCAGUUCUGUCCCUCUCCAUGUGUGUUUUCAUGGGUCAUUAAUGGAAUCUUACACUAGCGGUAAAAUAUAUAAAUAUGCUACGAGAAAUAAUGUAAAGUUUACUCAACCUUUCCCCAGCUGCAGGGGAUAGCAUAGCACACAGAGGGCAGAAAAAGAGUCGGUUUCUGAUAUAAGCACUAAGUCUUACUAUCUGACAUUUUCUACCUAGGCAGAAUGGAUUGGUACUCUUGUUAAUGUAACAGAUUUCACAGCACUAAUGUAAAUUUUCUUAUUAUCUCUGUAAAGCAGGCACAGAGUGGAAAGAAUUUAAUGACUGUUGCAUCAUUAGCCUUUCUCCAUACGCUUAAAAUGAUUGACAGGGAAAUGACCCCAAGCAAAAUUUGUUAUUGUCACUACUAUUCUUUACAGGUGUAGAGUUUUAUGAAGUACAAACAGACAAGGACCAAAAAUGAACUUUUUACCUUUUUCCAUUCCCGGCCCAUUGAUGGACAACAAUAUUUGAUCCAACCAGAUGGAUAUCCUGUAUAUUGACCAGAGCCUCCUUGGAAAUUUCGUACAAGCAGGAAAGCCAACCGUGGUUUAAACUCUAACAAGUGGCCACGUAUAAGCCAGCUUGGCCUUGAGAUGCCACUGUGGGCAGCAAGGAGAAGAGAAGAAGCUUAAUCUUCUGUCAAUCGUCAUUUGUAAAGCAGGAGAACCGUCAAUGUACAAAAAUAACUCUCUUUACAUCCUUUCUAAUCGCACAAAAUUGUACUUCAUCUGUAAAUCUCAAAAUGUAGUAAAAAACAACUUUAAUAUGAAUGAUAUAUAUUAACACAAAGUUCCUAGCUGGUUGUACAGAUAACAUUUUCCAAUUGUUUUCUGUCAAACUAAAAUAGACGAACAGACAGAUGAUAACGUUGUUAGCAUGAAUGUCCAGAGUCAUUGUUUGUGGUCAGUAAAACUCUUUUUUUUAAAUUUAGGUUGUCUGGAAUACAAAAAUAUUCCUACAAAAAUGUAUGUUAGUCUUUUGCAAUAUGUUUAGGUAACAUAUUUUUUUUUUUUUUUGAAGGCUCGUCGAGAAUAAAAAAUGUGUCAGAGACACUUUCGCUUUCUUCCAGAUCGAUCUGUGGGCCCAUGUUGAUAACAGAUAAUUGUACGUGUAAAACUGGACACAUUGCAUUGAGUUUGACCUCCUGCCAAAGGUGGACGUAAAUUUGACGGCAUUUCGACCGAUUAUAGAACAAAUUGGUUGUGUGUAAUAAGAAGAGCAACAAAUAAAGGACUGUCGA
Pelobates cultripes (western spadefoot toad) is the source of this 11664-nucleotide non-coding RNA. NCBI's taxonomy places the organism in Eukaryota, Metazoa, Chordata, Amphibia, Anura, Pelobatidae. The record is from the annotation of a GenBank genome assembly.